This 292-nucleotide ribosomal RNA is filed under the name uncultured Acidobacteriota bacterium. RNAcentral describes it as "uncultured Acidobacteria bacterium partial 16S ribosomal RNA". Lineage: Bacteria; Pseudomonadati; Acidobacteriota. The record is from RNAcentral.
GGACUACAAGGGUUUCUAAUCCUGUUUGCUACCCACGCUUUCGUGUCUCAGUGUCAGUCGUGGUCCAGUAAGCUGUCUACACCACAGGUGUUCCUCCUGAUAUCUACGCAUUUCACCGCUACACCAGGAAUUCCGCUUACCUCUCCCACACUCUAGCACUCCAGUUUCCGCCGCACCCUCCCAGUUGAGCCGGGAGAUUUCACAACAGACUUAGAGCACCACCUACACACUCUUUACGCCCAGUAAUUCCGAACAACGCUCGCUGCCUACGUAUUACCGCGGCGGCUGGCAC